CCUACGGGCGGCAGCAGUGAGGAAUAUUGGUCAAUGGGCGAGAGCCUGACCCAGCCAAGUCGCGUGAAGGAUGAAGGAUCUAUGGUUUGUAAACUUCUUUUAUAUGGGAAUAAAGUGAGGAACGUGUUCCUUCUUGUAUUUACCAUAUGAAUAAGCAUAGGCUAACUCCGUGCCAGCAGCCGCGGUAAUACGGAGGAUGCGAGCGUUAUCCGGAUUUAUUGGGUUUAAAGGGUGCGUAGGUGGUUAAUUAAGUCAGCGGUGAAAGUUUGUGGCUCAACCAUAAAAUUGCAGUUGAAACUGGUUGACUUGAGUAUAUUUGAGGUAGGCGGAAUGCGUGGUGGAGCGGUGAAAUGCAUAGAUAUCACGCAGAACUCCGAUUGCGAAGGCAGCUUACUAAACUAUAACUGACACUGAAGCACGAAAGCGUGGGGAUCAAACAGGAUUAGAUACCCCUGUAGUC
Molecule: ribosomal RNA, 460 nt
Filed under: uncultured bacterium
Lineage: Bacteria
Description: partial 16S ribosomal RNA
Rfam family: Bacterial small subunit ribosomal RNA
Source: RNAcentral